This 81-nucleotide unclassified non-coding RNA is filed under the name Kaistella treverensis. Its description in RNAcentral is "Chryseobacterium treverense Flavo-1 RNA". Lineage: Bacteria; Pseudomonadati; Bacteroidota; Flavobacteriia; Flavobacteriales; Weeksellaceae. The record is from RNAcentral.
ACCCGACUUGAGUGGAGCUCUUUUUGGCGCGCGCGCGAAGCGCGCGCCCCAAAAAAGCGGGAACGGAAGGCGGAAAAGUCG